RNAcentral lists this ribosomal RNA (329 nucleotides) under uncultured eukaryote. RNAcentral's name for it is "partial 18S ribosomal RNA". It matches the Rfam family "Eukaryotic small subunit ribosomal RNA", at positions 1470 to 1796 of the family's 1831-position model. The record is from RNAcentral.
CCCUUAGAUGUUCUGGGCCGCACGCGCGCUACAAUGAUGAAUUCAACGAGUUUAUAACCUUGGUUGAAAAGCCUGGGUAAUCUUUUGAACUUUCGUCGUGAUGGGGCUAGACCCUUGCAAUUAUUGGUCUCCAACGAGGAAUUCCUAGUAAACGCAAGUCAUCAGCUUGCAUUGAUUACGUCCCUGUCCUUUGUACACACCGCCCGUCGCACCUACCGAUUGAAUGGUCCGGUGAAAUCUUCGGAUUGAGACUUUGAUUUCUUCACGGAAAACGCUGUUUUAAAAAGUUGAUUAAACCUUACCAUUUAGAGGAAGGUGAAGUCGUAACA